UACGGAGGAUGCAAGCGUUAUCCGGAUUUAUUGGGUUUAAAGGGUGCGUAGGCGGCUUAGUAAGUCAGCGGUGAAAUUUUGCAGCUUAACUGUAACAGUGCCGUUGAUACUGCCAGGCUAGGAUUUGGUUGCUGUGGGUGGAAUGUGUGGUGUAGCGGUGAAAUGCUUAGAUAUCACACAGAAUAUCGAUUGCGAAGGCAGCUCACAAAGCCAAGAUUGACGCUGAGGCACGAAAGUGUGGGGAGUCAAACA
Molecule: ribosomal RNA, 252 nt
Filed under: uncultured prokaryote
Description: partial 16S ribosomal RNA
Rfam family: Bacterial small subunit ribosomal RNA
Source: RNAcentral